GGGUCAGUAGGUUGGUCGUACCACCGGUACGUACUGGUCUCACUGAUUCCUCCUUCCUGAAGAACCGUAAUGCCAUUAAUUUGGUGUUGCGGGGAAACAGGACUGUUACUUUGAAAAAUUAGAGUGUUUAAAGCAAGCUAACGCUUGAAUACAUUAGCAUGGAAUAAUGAAAUAGGACGAUCGAUCCUAUUUUGUUGGUUUCUAGGAUUGACGUA
RNAcentral lists this ribosomal RNA (215 nucleotides) under Glomeromycotina sp. RNAcentral's name for it is "partial small subunit ribosomal RNA". The stretch from base 40 to 215 matches the Rfam family "Eukaryotic small subunit ribosomal RNA", at positions 686 to 864 of the family's 1831-position model. The record is from RNAcentral. Lineage: Eukaryota; Fungi; Glomeromycota.